CGUUGAAAACGACUCAAAAGUGAGUCGUUUUCGACUCACUUCGAAACUUUUGCUGAAAUGUCAAAAGGUGAGUAGGAUUAUUUAUUCGAACUGAGUAGCUUUUGACUCACUCAACGCAGUUUGAACGUUUACUCUCUUUUGAGUAUCUAGCAUAUUGAAAACGACUCACAUAACCGUCAAAAACUUAGUCGCUACCAAGGUCGCUGCUUACCGAACUACUACGGACGAGACUACGGAAAAAGUGAAUAUUUGGAGAGAAAUACAACAAUUAGGUACUGAAAACUCAACGGGAAAGAGUAAAUUCAAAAUGUGAGAGAAUGUCAAAACAUUUGAUUUUCCCUAGGGUUCUCCCAAGCUUUUGCGAAUUGCGUUAGAGAAGACGACAUUAUUUUAUACGGCGCUAUAAAACCAAUAUUUCAGGCCGCCAACAUUGCAUUCAAAUGCAGUAGACGUUCGCUCGGUGCAACAUGCACAAACAUGCAAGAAGAGACAAGAACAACAAAGAAUACCAUGAAGCCGAGCACGAACAGUUAACAAAUAUAUAAAUAUUAUGUAUCGACCAGCAUUAUUUAAAGUAAUAAACAUACUUCGUUAUUCUUUUAUUAUUGUUGUUUAAUGAAAAAAAACAUAAGAACGCAAAAUUUGGAAAUUCGGGAUUUAUUUUUACAAAAGCGAGUAAUUUUCUACUCAUUUUUGCAUUUCAGUGCUUUUAUAAAGUGAGUAACUUUUAACUCACUUUUAA
Long non-coding RNA from Aedes albopictus (Asian tiger mosquito), 742 nucleotides. RefSeq lists it as uncharacterized. The transcript is spliced from 3 exons. NCBI's taxonomy places the organism in Eukaryota, Metazoa, Arthropoda, Insecta, Diptera, Culicidae. The record is from RefSeq and is a predicted model, not a curated record.